AUGGAUAAGCAUUCGACUGCUGCUUCUGCCCCGUCUAGGCUCCUCUUCUCCAUGCCCUAAAGGCCCCCGCCUCUUGGUUCCACGCGGAUGCUGUCCGCAUAUCCCGUUCUCCGCGGACCAAGACAGAAUGGUAGGUUCUCUGCGGAAGCGUCCGCAUAGCAGGUCCUCCGCAUAAUAACUUCUAUGCGGGAUCUGUCCGCAUAUUAGGUGCUAUGCGGAAUCUGUCCGCAUAAACAGCUUGUCAAAUAUAACCUUCUAUGCGGAAACAGUCCGCAUAGGACCUUCUAUGCGGAUUGUGUCCGCAUAAACGGUUUGUCCGCAUAGGACCUUCUAUGCGGAUUGUGUCCGCAUAAACGGUUUGUCCGCAUAGGACCUUCUAUGCGGACUGUCCGCAUAAACGGACUGUCCGCAUACAACCUUCUAUGCGGAUUAUGUCCGCAUAACCAGCUUUCCGCAUAAAACCUUCUAUGCGGAUUAUGUCCGCAUAACCAGCUUUCCGCAUAACCAGCUUUCCGCAUAAAACCUUCUAUGCGGAUUGUGUCCGCAUAACCAGCUUUCCGCAUAACCAGCUUUCCGCAGUAGGACCUUCUACGCGGAUUGUAUCCGCCUAGUAGGUCCUAUAAGGACAGAUUCCGCAUAGUAGGUCGUAUGCAGAUAAAGUAUGAAUAAACAAGUACGCAAAGUAGUUUUGCACUGAGGGCUAGUUUGGUUUGCGAAAACAUUUUUCCUUCUAAAAAUAUAAUAUCUGAAAAAUAAAUUUUUAUAAAAAAAAUGCAUAAGAAAGUAUUUUUAACAUAUUUGAUUAACCUUUUUCUAAAAAAAUAUUUUUGGCAAGUUGACAAUAAAAAAAUAAUAAAUGUUUAAAAUAUUUAUUUUGGUUGGCCAUUCGCUUUCUUAAAAAAAUUAUAUAUAAUUUCUAUAAUACCCUUAAUAAAAAUUAAAUCUUUAAUAAUUUUUUAAUGCUUCUUUAAUACUGAACAAUUUUUUUGAAAAAAAUAAAAUAAAAUAAUUCCCUUCUUACUUUUCCAUGUUUCUUAUAGAAAAAGCUUUUCCAUAAAAUAUAGAAAUCAUAUUUUAAUGGAAAUACAAAUUUCUUAUCUCUCUCCUUUGAAAACUGAAUCAAGAGACAUCUCAUUACUUUUGAGUCUCUAGAUGAAUCUAGAAUCAAACCAGGAUUAAGGAUCCAGUAACACCUAUGCUAACAAAAUGACUAACACAUUUUCACCAGCGAAAGCAUCCAAUUUUAUUUAUUGUGGUAGAGUUUUUUAAUGUCCCGCUCCCAUUGUGAAACUAUAAAAAUGAACACAAAUAUUCAGGGAAUAAAACUAAUAAGCUAUCUUAAAAUUUGAAAUUAAAAUAUAUAUCAAUAAUUAAAUUAGUUUUAAAAAGCAAAUGUUGUAGCCCGUCAACGAAAGUAGAAAAAAUAAUUCAGAAUAGCAACUCUCGCCUGCUGA
RNAcentral lists this long non-coding RNA (1454 nucleotides) under Phoenix dactylifera (date palm). RNAcentral's name for it is "long non-coding RNA (PDAC_LNC014639)". The record is from RNAcentral. Lineage: Eukaryota; Viridiplantae; Streptophyta; Magnoliopsida; Arecales; Arecaceae.